UACGUAGGGGGCAAGCGUUGUCCGGAUUUAUUGGGCGUAAAGAGCGUGUAGGCGGCUAGAUAGGUCCGUUGUGAAAACUCGAGGCUCAACCUCGAGACGUCGAUGGAAACCAUCUGGCUAGAGUCCGGAAGAGGAGAGUGGAAUUCCUGGUGUAGCGGUGAAAUGCGCAGAUAUCAGGAAGAACACCCGUGGCGAAGGCGGCUCUCUGGUACGUGACUGACGCUGAGACGCGAAAGCAUGGGGAGCGAACAGG
This 253-nucleotide ribosomal RNA is filed under the name uncultured bacterium. Its description in RNAcentral is "partial 16S ribosomal RNA". It matches the Rfam family "Bacterial small subunit ribosomal RNA", at positions 524 to 776 of the family's 1533-position model. The record is from RNAcentral.